RNAcentral lists this ribosomal RNA (656 nucleotides) under Rahnella sp. AA. RNAcentral describes it as "bacterial SSU rRNA". It matches the Rfam family "Bacterial small subunit ribosomal RNA", at positions 884 to 1533 of the family's 1533-position model. Lineage: Bacteria; Pseudomonadati; Pseudomonadota; Gammaproteobacteria; Enterobacterales; Yersiniaceae. The record is from RNAcentral.
GGCCGCAAGGUUAAAACUCAAAUGAAUUGACGGGGGCCCGCACAAGCGGUGGAGCAUGUGGUUUAAUUCGAUGCAACGCGAAGAACCUUACCUACUCUUGACAUCCAGAGAAUUCGCUAGAGAUAGCGUAGUGCCUUCGGGAACUCUGAGACAGGUGCUGCAUGGCUGUCGUCAGCUCGUGUUGUGAAAUGUUGGGUUAAGUCCCGCAACGAGCGCAACCCUUAUCCUUUGUUGCCAGCACGUAAUGGUGGGAACUCAAAGGAGACUGCCGGUGAUAAACCGGAGGAAGGUGGGGAUGACGUCAAGUCAUCAUGGCCCUUACGAGUAGGGCUACACACGUGCUACAAUGGCAUAUACAAAGAGAAGCAAACUCGCGAGAGCAAGCGGACCUCAUAAAGUAUGUCGUAGUCCGGAUUGGAGUCUGCAACUCGACUCCAUGAAGUCGGAAUCGCUAGUAAUCGUAGAUCAGAAUGCUACGGUGAAUACGUUCCCGGGCCUUGUACACACCGCCCGUCACACCAUGGGAGUGGGUUGCAAAAGAAGUAGGUAGCUUAACCUUCGGGAGGGCGCUUACCACUUUGUGAUUCAUGACUGGGGUGAAGUCGUAACAAGGUAACCGUAGGGGAACCUGCGGUUGGAUCACCUCCUUACCUCAA